AUACUUACCUGGCAGGGAACCGUUGGUGAUCAGCAGGGCCAAAGUUCCAGGACGAGGCUAUCCCAUUGCACUUUGGGUGUGCUAAAGCCUGCAAUAUUCCCAAAUGCGGAAUACUCGACUGCAUAAUUUGUGGUAAUGGGUGACUGUGUUCACGCUCUUUUU
Hypanus sabinus (Atlantic stingray) is the source of this 162-nucleotide small nuclear RNA. RefSeq annotates it as U1 spliceosomal RNA. The record is from RefSeq and is a predicted model, not a curated record. NCBI's taxonomy places the organism in Eukaryota, Metazoa, Chordata, Chondrichthyes, Myliobatiformes, Dasyatidae. The transcript has a single exon.